UGGGGAAUAUUGCACAAUGGGCGCAAGCCUGAUGCAGCCAUGCCGCGUGUAUGAAGAAGGCCUUCGGGUUGUAAAGUACUUUCAGCGAGGAGGAGGUGUGUGUUAAUAACCACAGCAAUUGACGUUACUCGCAGAAGAAGCACCGGCUAACUCCGUGCCAGCAGCCGCGGUAAUACGGAGGGUGCAAGCGUUAAUCGGAAUUACUGGGCGUAAAGCGCACGCAGGCGGUCUGUCAAGUCGGAUGUGAAAUCCCCGGGCUCAACCUGGGAACUGCAUCCGAAACUGGCAGGCUAGAGUCUUGUAGAGGG
RNAcentral lists this ribosomal RNA (308 nucleotides) under uncultured Citrobacter sp. RNAcentral describes it as "bacterial SSU rRNA". It matches the Rfam family "Bacterial small subunit ribosomal RNA", at positions 355 to 658 of the family's 1533-position model. Lineage: Bacteria; Pseudomonadati; Pseudomonadota; Gammaproteobacteria; Enterobacterales; Enterobacteriaceae. The record is from RNAcentral.